AUUGUUGAUUGCACCAGUAUUUGACAAGCAGCUUUUUGAGACAAACACUGAAGUCAAGCAUAAGGACGUUCGUUGUGACAGUGAGACCUUCAGGCAGGCAGACAGAGCCAUGAUCAGAGCUAGAGUUCCACAGUUCCACAGUCGGGCGACGCUCUCCUCCUCCUACGAUGGAAGAAGUCUUACAGCGGCUUACCAAGGUUAGCAUCCACCAGAAGCAAAUUAUGGAGCAUCUGGCUACACGCCAAGGGGAGGCAGAGCGCUUCCUGACCCCCGUGUGCAGGCCACCCGGUCACGGCCCAAGAUGACUGUACAUGACAUGACAUAGAGGCCUACUUCCAAAUGUUUGAGUGCACACUUGAAAACAAAGCCCAUGGAUUUUGAUUGCGUCUCUCGCAUAGUCUGACAAAGGAGUAUAAUUUAAAAAUUGUGCAGUCAACUGAUUGUGAAAUGGAACUUUAUGCUGAUUUAUCCUACCUCUAUCAUUCAGCACAAAUCCAAAUAUUUCAUAAUGUUUUCAUAUUUGCAAUACAACAAUAAAGCAGACUUGACUAUUUGAAUACAUUUUGUAAAUUAAAGGUACUGUACU
Long non-coding RNA from Puntigrus tetrazona (Sumatra barb), 586 nucleotides. RefSeq lists it as uncharacterized. The record is from RefSeq and is a predicted model, not a curated record. The transcript has 3 exons. Lineage: Eukaryota; Metazoa; Chordata; Actinopteri; Cypriniformes; Cyprinidae.